GGAGAGAUGGCGGAGCGGUUGAACGCGGCGGUCUUGAAAACCGCAGGCCCUUCGCGGGGCUCGUGGGUUCGAAUCCCACUCUCUCCUCCA
RNAcentral lists this transfer RNA (90 nucleotides) under Candidatus Elarobacter sp. Its description in RNAcentral is "tRNA-Ser". It matches the Rfam family "tRNA". Rfam says of the family: Transfer RNA (tRNA) molecules are approximately 80 nucleotides in length. Their secondary structure includes four short double-helical elements and three loops (D, anti-codon, and T loops). The record is from RNAcentral. Lineage: Bacteria; Bacillati; Vulcanimicrobiota; Vulcanimicrobiia; Vulcanimicrobiales; Vulcanimicrobiaceae.